CAUGCAAGUCGAACGCGUCUUGGGGGCAACUCCAAGAUGAGUGGCGAACGGGUGAGUAACACGUGGGUAAUCUCCCCCCGAGUGAGGAAUAAGCCCGCGAAAGCGGGUCUAAUACUGCAUAACACCCCGGGGCAUAAGCUUCCGGGGUCAAAGCCGUAAGGCGCUUGGGGAUGAGCCUGCGUCCUAUUAGCUAGUUGGUAGGGUAACGGCCUACCAAGGUUAUGAUGGGUAGCCGGCCUGAGAGGGUGUUCGGCCACACUGGGACUGAGACACGGCCCAGACUCCUACGGGAGGCAGCAGUGAGGAAUAUUGCGCAAUGAGCGAAAGCUAGACGCAGCAACGCCGCGUGGGUGACGAAGGCCUUCGGGUCGUAAAACCCUUUUCUGGGGGAAUAGCAAGGAAGG
RNAcentral lists this ribosomal RNA (404 nucleotides) under uncultured bacterium. RNAcentral describes it as "bacterial SSU rRNA". It matches the Rfam family "Bacterial small subunit ribosomal RNA", at positions 54 to 458 of the family's 1533-position model. The record is from RNAcentral.